UUUGACGGCCAUAGCGAAGGGGAAACACCCGGUCCCAUCCCGAACCCGGCAGUUAAGCCCUUCGCGUAUCGCCCGGUACUAUGUUGCGCGAGCACAUGGGAAAGGCGGUAUGCUGUCAAGC
RNAcentral lists this ribosomal RNA (121 nucleotides) under Thermoplasmatales archaeon. Lineage: Archaea; Methanobacteriati; Thermoplasmatota; Thermoplasmata; Thermoplasmatales. The record is from RNAcentral.